This 503-nucleotide ribosomal RNA is filed under the name uncultured bacterium. RNAcentral's name for it is "partial 16S ribosomal RNA". It matches the Rfam family "Bacterial small subunit ribosomal RNA", at positions 355 to 867 of the family's 1533-position model. The record is from RNAcentral.
UGGGGAAUAUUGCACAAUGGGCGAAAGCCUGAUGCAGCGACGCCGCGUGCGGGAUGAAGGCCUUCAGGUUGUAAACCGCUUUUGAUUGGGAGCAAGCGAGAGUGAGUGUACCUUUCGAAUAAGCACCGGCUAACUACGUGCCAGCAGCCGCGGUAAUACGUAGGGUGCAAGCGUUAUCCGGAAUUAUUGGGCGUAAAGAGCUCGUAGGCGGUUUGUCGCGUCUGGUGUGAAAGUCCAUCGCUUAACGGCGGAUCUGCGCCGGGUACGGGCAGGCUAGAGUGCGACGGGGGAGACUGGAAUUCCCGGGUGUAACGGUGGAAUGUGUAGAUAUCGGGAAGAACACCAAUGGCGAAGGCAGGUCUCUGGGUCGUCACUGACGCUGAGGAGCGAAAGCGUGGGGAGCGAACAGGAUUAGAUACCCUGGUAGUCCACGCCGUAAACGGUGGAUGCUGGAUGUGGGGCCCAUUCCACGGGUUCCGUGUCGGAGCUAACGCGUUAAGCAU